CCGCUCCGAUCUGCAGCAGCUCACACCACUGAUGCUGCCAACCCGACCACCACCACGACUCCUACCGACUCACAACUCACAAGGACGGGGAGUCUUGGACGAGGACGAGGAGGCACACCUGCUGCUCUGCCUGCUCCGACCGCCGGCCGGGGAUGAAUGCCGCUGAGCAACACCGGCCCUCCCUUCAUCAUGCACAUUUCCUUUUUCUCUCUCUAUACCCUGCGUGUCUGACUAGGUAGCUUCUGCACCCACUCUGACUUGUCCAAAUUCGGAUGAUCUAUACAUCCGAAUUUCAACAAAUUUAAGACAUCUUUUAGACAUCCGUAUGGAUCCAAUUCACAUCCUCAAUAUGAUUUACCGUAUGAAUACUAGCCCCUGUAGAAUGCACACACAUAUGAUUUACUUCAUCCUAGAUGUGUGUAGCUACGUCAACCGCUUGCUUUUGUCACCCACAAGCUCGUCAUCCAUUUCUUUCGUUGCUGGGACUAAAUAAAUAAACAAUACCACUCACUGCUUUAUCUUACACCCUUUGAUUCCAUGGCUACUAUUCUCUUCUAAUCAUUCUCUUUGCUUUUCGUCACAGAAUUCCUUCUACUCAACAUGCAGUGUGCCUUAUCGCUGGCUAGCCUGAAGCAGAUUCAGGACGACUUGUUCCACUCUGAAGCCGGGGGACAAGAAUGGCUGCAACGGAUAGGUACAUCCCUCUGCCUUUUCAUUAUCAAUAAUAAUUGUGCUCUUCUGAUUGCUUUUCUUUCCCAUGCAUAUUGUUGCAUUCACGCAAAAUACCAUGUGUAGGGAGCUUGGCAUCCCACUCCGUGCCACUGACGCAGGAGCGAGGAUGGGUUGCAGCUGGUUGACUGUUGAGUCCGACCUACCUGGGACAAGCAGGAGAAUCUGGAAGCAGCUGUUGAGCACCUCACCAUUGAAAUCCUGCUGAAUCUGAGCUCAUCUAUCGAUUGUUCUUGCUGUUAUGUUGUUUGCGUCGACAAUGGUAUGGUGGGACAGAUAGACUGCGACCCUGGCACCUCAAGUAGCAGGUUUUCUCAAAGUUUCUUGUACUGAACAUGGAGCGGGCCUUAUCGCUGGAUAGUGGGAAGCAGAUUCACCACAACCUCCUUCACUCAUACAUAAUGGACAAGAACGACUGCAACCGAUAGCUGCAUCUCCCUGCCUUUUAAUUAUAAACAAUAAUUCUGCUGUUUUGGCUGCCCAAAGUUACCUGCAGUUGUUGGUGAUCGCCAAGCCCGGGAAUUUAGCUUGUGUUUUUUUCUCUGCUCAUUUCUCUUGGUGAUUCUCUCUCAUGAUCAAAUGCUGCAUUCCUUUCUGUAUGUGUGGGGUGAAAAGUUUGGACCCGACCAUUGCUUUUAGUUCCGCUAAUCUCAAGUUUUAGCUUUCAUUUAUCUCUUCUGGAAAAUUGGGAGCAAUGUUUAGUUACGUGUAUGCUUAAUUAGCGGUAGCUGAUGAUCUUCUUGUACAAGGACAUGGUUAAUUAAAAUCUUCUUGUUGUUAUUGGUGAGUUCUUGAUGAUUGUAUCAUCAAUAAAAUGACAUGUGACUGUUCCCUAUGUAUGACAUGUGGUUGGUUUCUUAAGAACCCUAACGCGAUAUAUAUAACACUGUUAUAUAAAGUGGGUUCUACAACCGUUAUAUUCACAUACUGUUGCUCUGAUUUUAAAAUAGCUGAAUCCUGAGAUGCUUGUAUUUAAGUUCUGCCGGCAUAUGUUGCAAUUAUACGGCAUAUAGGUAU
Molecule: long non-coding RNA, 1746 nt
Organism: Lolium rigidum
Lineage: Eukaryota; Viridiplantae; Streptophyta; Magnoliopsida; Poales; Poaceae
Exons: 3
Source: RefSeq, a predicted model, not a curated record